Molecule: long non-coding RNA, 501 nt
Organism: Panicum virgatum (switchgrass)
Lineage: Eukaryota; Viridiplantae; Streptophyta; Magnoliopsida; Poales; Poaceae
Exons: 4
Source: RefSeq, a predicted model, not a curated record
GAUAAUUGAUUUUGCCUGUUAUGAAAACAGAUAUAUAAACAACUUUUCGACGAAACUAACAACUUAUCCGUACUAUGCUGCAAGAAGUUUCCUGAAAGGCAGUGGAGCUUCAUGCCUUCAUCCAGAGGUCUACCUGAUCCGAGACAUGCGUAUAUCUGCACCAAGCGAGCUGGGUCAUGCAUUCCGUACUCAGGGUGUGCAACAUCAGGAUUCUGGCGACAGGCUAGGCGUUGUACAGGCAGAACAAUCAAAGCUUGAGACGUCAUCUAGCUACUUCCAUUUUCUCUGAGUGUCAAAUCUGAAUUCUACCACAAGUAACGUACAAUUGAAUACCUAGAUGGGUAAGACGAUGGCCGCGUGGCGUUCACGCAGGGGAGUUUGACCAGUAUGUACAACAUCAUUGGGACUGAGCAGCAGCCGUCGGACAGAUCCAUCAGGUCGACGACCUGCUCUUCGGCCUCUUCGAACAGCAACUUCUCGAUCGGAGACAGCGGCCCCUGC